GACGAACGCUGGCGGCGUGCCUAAUACAUGCAAGUAGAACGCUGAAGCGAGGAGCUUGCUCUUCUUGGAUGAGUUGCGAACGGGUGAGUAACGCGUAGGUCACCUGCCUUGUAGCGGGGGAUCACUAUUGAACACGAUAUCUAAUACCGCAUAACAUUGGAUUACACAUUUCAUUUAUUUAAGUGUGGCCAUUUCUCCACUACAAGAUGGACCUGCGUCGUAUUAGCUAGUAGGUGAGGUACUGGCUCACUUAGGCGACGUUAUAUAGCCGACAUGAGAGGGUGAUCGGCCAGCCUGGGACUGAGACACGGCCCAGACGGAUACGGGAAGGAGCAGGAGGGAAUCGGGGGCAAGGGGGGGAACAUGGAGCGAGAAACGCGGCGGGAGUGAGGAAGGUUUUCGGAUCGUAAAGCUCUGUUGUAAGUUAAGAACGGGUGUGAGAGUGGAAAGUUCACACUGUGACGGUAGCUGACCAGAAAGGAACGGCUAACUACGUG
This 497-nucleotide ribosomal RNA is filed under the name uncultured bacterium. RNAcentral describes it as "partial 16S ribosomal RNA". It matches the Rfam family "Bacterial small subunit ribosomal RNA", at positions 28 to 507 of the family's 1533-position model. The record is from RNAcentral.